CACCACUCAAGCCCGGCUUGGUAUUGGGCGUCGCGGUGUCCGCGCGCCUCAAAGUCUCCGGCCGAGCCGUCCGUCUCUAAGCGUUGUGAUGUGUAUUCGCUUCGGAGUGCGGGCGGCCGCGGCCGUUAAACUUCCAUCAAG
This 141-nucleotide unclassified non-coding RNA is filed under the name uncultured fungus. Its description in RNAcentral is "sequence contains ITS2". The record is from RNAcentral. Lineage: Eukaryota; Fungi.